UAACCUGCCCAAGAGAUCGGGAUAACACCUGGAAACAGAUGCUAAUACCGGAUAACAACAGAUGAUGCCUAUCAACUGUUUAAAAGAUGGUUCUGCUAUCACUCUUGGAUGGACCUGCGGUGCAUUAGCUAGUUGGUAGGGUAACGGCCUACCAAGGCGAUGAUGCAUAGCCGAGUUGAGAGACUGAUCGGCCACAUUGGGACUGAGACACGCCCCAAACUCCUACGGGAGGCAGCAGCG
Molecule: ribosomal RNA, 240 nt
Filed under: uncultured Lactobacillus sp.
Lineage: Bacteria; Bacillati; Bacillota; Bacilli; Lactobacillales; Lactobacillaceae
Description: partial 16S ribosomal RNA
Rfam family: Bacterial small subunit ribosomal RNA
Source: RNAcentral